This 778-nucleotide ribosomal RNA is filed under the name uncultured bacterium. RNAcentral describes it as "bacterial SSU rRNA". It matches the Rfam family "Bacterial small subunit ribosomal RNA", at positions 8 to 750 of the family's 1533-position model. The record is from RNAcentral.
AGAGUUUGAUMUGGCUCAGGACGAACGCUGGCGGCAUGCCUAACACAUGCAAGUCGAACGGGACUAAGACCGACACCGGAGAUUCAGUUGGCCGGCGGGGACACGGGCCGGGUGAAUGGCCGGUGUUGGGCUUAGUUCAGUGGCGGACGGGUGAGUAACGCGUGAGGAACCUGCCUUUCAGAGCGGGAUAGCGUCUGGAAACGGGCGGUAAUACCGCAUGACAUUCCGGAGCCGCAUGGUUCUGGAAUCAAAGGAGCAAUCCGCUGGAAGAUGGACUCACGUCCGAUUAGCCGGUUGGCGGGGUAAUGGCCCACCAAAGCAACGAUCGGUAGCCGGACUGAGAGGUUGAACGGCCACAUUGGGACUGAGACACGGCCCAGACUCCUACGGGAGGCAGCAGUGGGGGAUAUUGCACAAUGGAGGAAACUUUGAUGCCCCCACGCCGCGUGAGGGAAGACGGUCUUCAAAUUGGGGACCUAUGUCCUCGGUGACGAUAAUGACGGUAGCCGAGGAGGAAGCUCCGGCUAACUACGUGCCAGCAGCCGCGGUAAUACGUAGGGAGCGAGCGCUGUCCGGAUUUACUGGGUGUAAAGGGUGCGUAGGCGGCUUUUUAAGUCAGGUGUGAAAACCGUGGGCUUAACUCACGGAUUGCAUUUGAAACUGAGGGGCUUGAGUGGAGCAGAGGCAGGCGGAAUUCCCGGUGUAGCGGUGAAAUGCGUAGAGAUCGGGAGGAACACCAGUGGCGAAGGCGGCCUGCUGGGCUUUAACUGACGCUGAG